UAUCUCUGUAGAGUCUGCAUAUCAAUAAGCGGAGGAAAAGAAACUAACUAGGAUUCCCUCAGUAACGGCGAGUGAAGCGGGAAGAGCUCAAAUUUGAAAUCUUCAAGGUUCUACUUUGACGAAUUGUAGUUUAAAGAAGUGUUUUCUGUUGGAGUUUUGGUAAAAGUUCUUUGGAAUAGGACAUCAUAGAGGGUGAGAAUCCCGUAUUUGACCAUUAUUUCCAGCUUUGUGAUACACUUUCAAAGAGUCGGAUUGUUUGGGAAUGCAGUCCAAAAUGGGUGGUAAAUUUCAUCUAAAGCUAAAUAUUGGCGAGAGACCGAUAGCGAACAAGUACCGUGAGGGGAAGAUGAAAAGAACUUUGAAAAGAGAGUUAAACAGUACGUGAAAUUGUCAAAAGGGAAGCGUUUGACACCAGUGUUGUUUUCUCGAAAAUCAAUUAAAAAAGGUUGGAUUUUGUGUUGUAUUGACCUUAAAAGCUUUCUUCACUUUUUUCAUGUCUUUUUUAAUGCACUUUUCGUUCAACAAGUCAACAUCAGUUUCUUUUGUUGUAAAAAGGUCAUUGGAAGGUGGCUUUCUUUUCGGAGAAAGUGUUUAUAGCCUUUGACUUCUGCAAUCGGAGAGAUUGAGGUCUGCAGCGUAGAUCCUUCGGGGUUAGAUACAUUUGUGCUAAGUUAUAGCCUUUCAUAGACAACUUGUUGACUAUGAUCAGUCAUGUAGCUUACUCGCUUAUGCUAUUUUACCUACGCUUAGGAUGUUGAUAGUCACAGCGUGUAC
Molecule: ribosomal RNA, 774 nt
Filed under: uncultured Neocallimastigales
Lineage: Eukaryota; Fungi; Neocallimastigomycota; Neocallimastigomycetes; Neocallimastigales
Description: partial large subunit ribosomal RNA
Rfam family: Eukaryotic large subunit ribosomal RNA
Source: RNAcentral